RNAcentral lists this ribosomal RNA (465 nucleotides) under uncultured bacterium. RNAcentral's name for it is "partial 16S ribosomal RNA". It matches the Rfam family "Bacterial small subunit ribosomal RNA", at positions 28 to 507 of the family's 1533-position model. The record is from RNAcentral.
GAUGAACGCUGGCGGCGUGCUUAACACAUGCAAGUCGUACGGUAAGGCCCUUUCGGGGGUCCACGAGUGGCGAACGGGGGAGGAACACGUGAGUAACCUGCCCACAACUUUGGGAUAACGCUAGGAAACUGGUGCUAAUACUGGAUAUGUGCUCCUGCUGCAUGGUGGGGGUUGGAAAGCUCCGGCGGUUGUGGAUGGACUCGCGGCCUAUCAGCUUGUUGGUGGGGUAGUGGCCUACCAAGGCGGCGACGGGUAGCCGGCCUGGGAGGGUGACCGGCCACAUUGGGACUGAGAUACGGCCCAGACUCCUACGGGAGGCAGCAGGGGGGAAUAUUGCACAAGGGGCGCAAGCCUGAUGCAGCAACGCCGCGGGCGGGAGGACGGCCUUCGGGUUGUAAACCGCUUUCAGCAGGGACGAAGCUUUUUGUGACGGUACCUGCAGAAGAAGCACCGGCUAACUACGUG